UACGAAGGGGCUAGCGUUGUUCGGUAAUUACUGGGCGUAAAGCGCACGUAGGCGGAUAUUUAAGUCAGGGGUGAAAUCCCAGAGCUCAACUCUGGAACUGCCUUUGAUACUGGGUAUCUUGAGUAUGGAAGAGGUAAGUGGAAUUGCGAGUGUAGAGGUGAAAUUCGUAGAUAUUCGCAGGAACACCAGUGGCGAAGGCGGCUUACUGGUCCAUACUGACGCUGAGGUGCGAAAGCGUGGGGAGCAAACAGGG
Molecule: ribosomal RNA, 253 nt
Filed under: uncultured bacterium
Lineage: Bacteria
Description: partial 16S ribosomal RNA
Rfam family: Bacterial small subunit ribosomal RNA
Source: RNAcentral